Molecule: small RNA, 16 nt
Filed under: Arabidopsis thaliana (thale cress)
Lineage: Eukaryota; Viridiplantae; Streptophyta; Magnoliopsida; Brassicales; Brassicaceae
Description: ATSL191110
Source: RNAcentral
AAGGAAGAGAACAAAA